Molecule: ribosomal RNA, 380 nt
Filed under: uncultured bacterium
Lineage: Bacteria
Description: bacterial SSU rRNA
Rfam family: Bacterial small subunit ribosomal RNA
Source: RNAcentral
AUUGAACGCUGGCGGCAUGCCUUACACAUGCAAGUCGAACGGCAGCGGGCCUUCGGGUGCCGGCGAGUGGCGAACGGGUGAGUAAUGCAUCGGAACGUGCCAUUGAGUGGGGGAGUAACGUAGCGAAAGUUGCGCUAAUACCGCAUAUUCUGUGAGCAGGAAAGCAGGGGACCGCAAGGCCUUGCGCUCUUUGAGCGGCCGAUGUCAGAUUAGCUAGUUGGUGAGGUAAAGGACUUACCAAGGCGACGAUCUGUAGCGGGUCGUGAGAGGAUGAUCCGCCACACUGGAACUGAGACACGGUCCAGACUCCUACGGGAGGCAGCAGUGGGGAAGUUUUGGUACGAAAUGGGGGCGGAACCCUACGAUCCACGCCACUGCCG